GGGGAAUUUUGGACAAUGGGCGCAAGCCUGAUCCAGCCAUGCCGCGUGCGGGAAGAAGGCCUUCGGGUUGUAAACCGCUUUUGUCAGGGAAGAAACGCUCUGGGCUAAUACCCCGGGGUAAUGACGGUACCUGAAGAAUAAGCACCGGCUAACUACGUGCCAGCAGCCGCGGUAAUACGUAGGGUGCAAGCGUUAAUCGGAAUUACUGGGCGUAAGGCGUGCGCAGGCGGUUAUGCAAGACAGAUGUGAAAUCCCCGGGCUCAACCUGGGAACUGCAUUUGUGACUGCAUGGCUGGAGUGCGGCAGAGGGGGAUGGAAUUCCGCGUGUAGCAGUGAAAUGCGUAGAUAUGCGGAGGAACACCGAUGGCGAAGGCAAUCCCCUGGGCCUGCACUGACGCUCAUGCACGAAAGCGUGGGGAGCAAAC
RNAcentral lists this ribosomal RNA (425 nucleotides) under uncultured bacterium. RNAcentral's name for it is "bacterial SSU rRNA". It matches the Rfam family "Bacterial small subunit ribosomal RNA", at positions 356 to 773 of the family's 1533-position model. The record is from RNAcentral.